CAGAGCCUGUGAAGAGGAGAAGCAGCUUCCUUCAGUGCACUUGGACACUGUGCCCCCAACACCUGGAGAAGGAAGGUAGAGAGCCAUAUCACUAGAAGCCCCCAGGAAAUGCUGCAUGAUUCAAGAGUCCAAAGCUCUGCUAUGCACAUUCAGACAAUGGACAGGAGACUACAGCAUGUGACAGGUAUGGAAAUAGGAGGUUUCUUAGCCAACUAUUGCUUCCCUGGAAUACCCAAAGGAGACAAUCUCCGAAAGUGAAAGCAGCAAUUUUUCCCAAUGGCCCAUUCAGCUUUGGAUUCAGCCCUAGAGAUGCCUCACCUUCCCACUUCCUGGAAUGGAAUCCAGAGGCCAACAUCUGGAACAUAACAGAACCAUAAAACUGAUCAUCCGCUUGUGCUGCUGCUCCUGAAAAGCCUACACACAGAUGGAAUUCCUCAGUCUACAGUGAAGAAGAAAACCAGAAUAUUCAAAUCUGCAAAGCAGCCAAGUACAUCUGGUGGUUUCCUGAUACCUGUACCCAGCCAUAACUGGCCACCCUGCCCCACGAGUUGUUUAGGCUGAGUGGGUGGUGCAAUAAGUGUGUGGCUGUUUUAAAAUAUUAUAUUACUGAUGAUUAUAUUAUGCUGCUAAAUUUUAUUCUAUAUUUUAUUGUAUAUUUUAUAAUGUUGUAAUCCGC
This is a long non-coding RNA of Eublepharis macularius, 676 nucleotides long. RefSeq lists it as uncharacterized. The transcript is spliced from 4 exons. The record is from RefSeq and is a predicted model, not a curated record. Lineage: Eukaryota; Metazoa; Chordata; Lepidosauria; Squamata; Eublepharidae.